UCGAGACCAAAACACAACGAGUGAUUUUGAGAACCCGUCAAAAAAGCGGUGGCUUUUGCUACUGACAUAAAAUCCACCCGAGUCAUCGCCUCAGCCCCUCUUUUGGGCAGGGAUGUGAUGAGGGAUGGAUGAACCCUCAAAUCGGCGCGGCAUAGCGCCAAGGGAAUAUUGAAACACAAGCCCAUAAAUGGGUUUUGUGGGAUGGGGUGCUGUUGCACGCCAUAUCGAUUGACACGACUCUCGGCAAUGGAUAUCUCGGCUCUCGCAUCGAUGAAGAGCGCAGCGAAAUGCGAUAUGUGGUGCGAAUUGCAGAAUCCCGCGAACCAUCGAGUCUUUGAACGCAAGUUGCGCCCGAGGCCAAUCGGCCAAGGGCACGCCUGCCUGGGUGUCAAGCAUUUUAUCGCUCCAUGUCUAGUCUCCCAUCGAUGGAUGUGUGGCAAAGGCUCGGAUGUGCACAGUGGCUCGUCGUGCCCCUUGGUGCGGCGGGUUGAAGGGCGGGUCAUCUUCUCGUUGGUUGCGAACAAUAAGGGGUGGAUUAAAUAAGGCCUAUGCUAUUGUGUCAAGCGUGCCUGAGAGAUGAUCAUACUUUUUAGGUGAUCCCAAUUCAUGCGUCGAUCCAUGGAUGGCGUUUCGAAU
Molecule: ribosomal RNA, 636 nt
Filed under: Dendrobium loddigesii
Lineage: Eukaryota; Viridiplantae; Streptophyta; Magnoliopsida; Asparagales; Orchidaceae
Description: eukaryotic LSU rRNA
Rfam family: 5.8S ribosomal RNA (bases 236-391)
Source: RNAcentral